Small nuclear RNA from Pteronotus mesoamericanus, 105 nucleotides. The record is from RefSeq and is a predicted model, not a curated record. Lineage: Eukaryota; Metazoa; Chordata; Mammalia; Chiroptera; Mormoopidae.
GUGCUUGUUUUGACAGCAUAUAUACUAAAAUUGAUACAGAGAAGAUUAGCAUGGUCCCUGCACAAGGAUGACACCCAAAGCACCCUUGGGAUACUCAAUAAAUAU